RNAcentral lists this ribosomal RNA (303 nucleotides) under uncultured bacterium. RNAcentral's name for it is "partial 16S ribosomal RNA". It matches the Rfam family "Bacterial small subunit ribosomal RNA", at positions 507 to 807 of the family's 1533-position model. The record is from RNAcentral.
AGCAGUAGCCGCGGUAAUACGUAGGGUGCGAGCGUUAAUCGGAAUUACUGGGCGUAAAGCGUGCGCAGGCGGUUUUGUAAGACAGGCGUGAAAUCCCCGGGCUCAACCUGGGAAUGGCGCUUGUGACUGCAAAGCUAGAGUGCGGCAGAGGGGGAUGGAAUUCCGCGUGUAGCAGUGAAAUGCGUAGAUAUGCGGAGGAACACCGAUGGCGAAGGCAAUCCCCUGGGCCUGCACUGACGCUCAUGCACGAAAGCGUGGGGAGCAAACAGGAUUAGAUACCCCAGUAGUCCCUGUCUCUUAUAC